Molecule: RNA transcript, 1408 nt
Organism: Panicum virgatum (switchgrass)
Lineage: Eukaryota; Viridiplantae; Streptophyta; Magnoliopsida; Poales; Poaceae
Gene name: probable RNA-dependent RNA polymerase 3
Exons: 6
Source: RefSeq, a predicted model, not a curated record
CUUUUCUACUAAUGCUUCCCUGUGGAAGUCCUUUAUCCUGAAUGUAUUUCAGUUUUUCCCUCCUAUCCUCAGUUUGUAGAUUUCUUUUGGCUUCUAUGCAUGCCUUCCCUAAGCAAGGUUAAGACUGCAAAAAUUUCCCUUCCCCUGGCCGCAUCUUGUAUCAUAGCUUUCAGCACUGCGCGUGCCCUUUUUAAUGCAUACCUGACCUGCAGCCCUGUUAGCAAUCCUGUUUCUCUAUCCAAUACAUGUUGUACUUCUAAAAAAAAUGCCUAAAUAUCAUCGACUUCAUACAUCUAACUUUGCAGGCACACAGAAAAUUUCAUUGUAGCAUCGUUGACACCAAAAAAGAGUAGUAGUUUAUCAUGGUCUAUUCAUGUGCUUGUCAUGUAUGCCUUUUCUUUUUGGCUUGUCAUGCAGCUCAUGAAUUUGAUAAUGAUUUUCUGCAGGUUAUUUUUCUAAUUUUUUUUCUUGAACAAUACACCAUACACCUUUCACAAAAGGGAAACCUGGCUUGAAACUGCAUCCAUAUCUCCCUAUGGAGCUGUACACAAUAUUGACGGUCCAUAUGUGGAGAAUACAAGGACUCAUCUGCAGAAAAUUGUUGGUGACGACAAUGUUCUUCUUGUGAAGUUUGCAGAUAUACCUGAUCUUGUAAAUAAAAUCGACAAGUUCGGUAUCUACUGCACAUUUUACAGCCAGCUCGCUAAUGAUGAGGGCAUAUUGCAUGUUUGGUUUGGUAUUAUCCAAAACUAUCAAAUUGGACGUGAACUUAUCAGAAGUUCAUGUUCAAAUAAUCGACGACGAACCUUGCAGGUAUGAAUCUGGAGAAAUCGCUGUUCAAGAUGGGGAAAGUUUGAUUCAUACUGACGGGACUGGCUUAAUAUCAGUAGAUUUAGCUAGAGAAUGCCCCACCAGCAUCUUCAAGGGAAACUUCCUUAAGGCAUGUGACCUGUAGCUGACACUAGUCUUUUCAGUUAACCAUUAUAAUUCCUUAAAUACUCUUUGCUUAAUGUUUUAUCUUUUAUGCCUUGCACAAGACGCUGUGGAUUCAAAGGGAUACCAAUAUCUCACCUCUGAACAUCCUCUUCUAAUGCAGUUCCAUAUGUUCCAUAAUGAUAUGCUGUGAAGGGAACCCUUCUAGUUGAUAAAAGGACAAUUCAUAUAAGACCAUCAAUGAUAAAAAUAUAUGUUAUGAACCCUGAUGGGAUCGAGAGGAGAGAGUGCUGAGGGAAGUGGCGGCGGCGCUACAGUACCCGCGGUGCUACAGUACCCGCGGGUACUGUUCGCGAGAUGGGAGGGCUGCGAGGGCGAGAGAGCGGCGGCUAGGGUUGGGGGCGCUGGGAACGCCGGCCGCGGGGCUUCUCCCACGGCCGGCAAGAGAGAAGGUAUUUCCUUCUAAUCUCUUGCU